This 254-nucleotide ribosomal RNA is filed under the name uncultured bacterium. RNAcentral's name for it is "partial 16S ribosomal RNA". It matches the Rfam family "Bacterial small subunit ribosomal RNA", at positions 524 to 776 of the family's 1533-position model. The record is from RNAcentral.
UACAGAGGGUGCGAGCGUUGUUCGGAAUUACUGGGCGUAAAGCGCGCGCAGGCGGCCUUUUAAGUCUGACGGUGAAAUGCCGGGGCUCAACCCCGUGCCCGCCGGAGAUACUGGGAGGCUGGAGACGAGUAGAGGCAAGCGGAAUUCCGGGUGUAGCGGUGGAAUGCGUAGAGAUCCGGAAGAACACCGGAGGCGAAGGCGGCUUGCUGGGCUCAGUCUGACGCUGAGGCGCGAAAGCGUGGGGAGCGAACAGG